This 74-nucleotide transfer RNA is filed under the name Armatimonadetes bacterium Uphvl-Ar1. It matches the Rfam family "tRNA". Rfam says of the family: Transfer RNA (tRNA) molecules are approximately 80 nucleotides in length. Their secondary structure includes four short double-helical elements and three loops (D, anti-codon, and T loops). Lineage: Bacteria; Bacillati; Armatimonadota. The record is from Rfam by way of RNAcentral.
GGCGACGUAGCUCAGUUGGUUAGAGCGAACGGUUCAUACCCGUUAGGUCAUCAGUUCAAGUCUGAUCGUCGCUA